AGUGAACGCUGGCGGCGUGCUUAACACAUGCAAGUCGAACGAGAACGGGCUUUAGUCUACUAAAGUUGUCAGCUAAGUGGCGCACGGGUGAGUAAUAUAUAGUUAAUCUGCCCUAGAGAAGGGGAUAACGUUUGGAAACGAACGCUAAUACCCUAUAUGCCUUUAAGUCAUAAGACUGCAAGGGAAAUAUUUAUAGCUCUAGGAUGAGACUGUACGGUAUCAGCUAGUUGGUGAGGUAAUGGCUCACCAAGGCAAUGACACCUAACUGGUUUGAGAGGAUGAUCAGUCACACUGGAACUGAGACACGGUCCAG
This 313-nucleotide ribosomal RNA is filed under the name uncultured Arcobacter sp. RNAcentral describes it as "bacterial SSU rRNA". It matches the Rfam family "Bacterial small subunit ribosomal RNA", at positions 29 to 334 of the family's 1533-position model. Lineage: Bacteria; Pseudomonadati; Campylobacterota; Epsilonproteobacteria; Campylobacterales; Arcobacteraceae. The record is from RNAcentral.